AUUGAACGCUGGCGGCAUGCCUUACACAUGCAAGUCGAACGGUAACAGCACUUCGGUGGCUGACGAGUGGCGAACGGGUGAGUAAUACAUCGGAACGUGCCCGAGAGUGGGGGAUAACGCAGCGAAAGCUGUGCUAAUACCGCAUACGAUCUACGGAUGAAAGCAGGGGACCGCAAGGCCUUGCGCUCAUGGAGCGGCCGAUGGCAGAUUAGGUAGUUGGUGGGAUAAAAGCUUACCAAGCCGACGAUCUGUAGCUGGUCUGAGAGGACGACCAGCCACACUGGGACUGAGACACGGCCCAGACUCCUACGGGAGGCAGCAGUGGGGAAUUUUGGACAAUGGGCGAAAGCCUGAUCCAGCCAUGCCGCGUGCAGGAUGAAGGCCUUCGGGUUGUAAACUGCUUUUGUACGGAACGAAAAGGUCUUUUCUAAUAAAGAAGGCUCAUGACGGUACCGUAAGAAUAAGCACCGGCUAACUACGUGCCAGCAGCCGCGGUAAUACGUAGGGUGCAAGCGUUAAUCGGAAUUACUGGGCGUAAAGCGUGCGCAGGCGGUUAUAUAAGACAGAUGUGAAAUCCCCGGGCUCAACCUGGGAACUGCAUUAGUGACUGUAUAGCUAGAGUGCGGCAGAGGGGGAUGGAAUUCCGCGUGUAGCAGUGAAAUGCGUAGAUAUGCGGAGGAACACCGAUGGCGAAGGCAAUCCCCUGGGCCUGCACUGACGCUCAUGCACGAAAGCGUGGGGAGCAAACAGGGUUAGAUACCCUGGUAGUCCACGCCCUAAACGAUGUCAACUGGUUGUUGGGAAUUUACUUUCUCAGUAACGAAGCUAACGCGUGAAGUUGACCGCCUGGGGAGUACGGCCGCAAGGUUAAAACUCAAAGGAAUUGACGGGGACCCGCACAAGCGGUGGAUGAUGUGGUUUAAUUCGAUGCAACGCGAAAAACCUUACCCACCUUUGACAUGUAUGGAAGAUCGCAGAGACGCGAUUGUGCUCGAAAGAGAGCCAUAACACAGGUGCUGCAUGGCUGUCGUCAGCUCGUGUCGU
Molecule: ribosomal RNA, 1044 nt
Filed under: uncultured bacterium
Lineage: Bacteria
Description: bacterial SSU rRNA
Rfam family: Bacterial small subunit ribosomal RNA
Source: RNAcentral